Molecule: ribosomal RNA, 305 nt
Filed under: uncultured bacterium
Lineage: Bacteria
Description: bacterial SSU rRNA
Rfam family: Bacterial small subunit ribosomal RNA
Source: RNAcentral
UCCCUACGGGGGGCAGCAGUGGGGAAUAUUGCACAAUGGGGGAAACCCUGAUGCAGCGACGCCGCGUGAGCGAAGAAGUAUUUCGGUAUGUAAAGCUCUAUCAGCAGGGAAGAAAAAUGACGGUACCUGAGUAAGAAGCACCGGCUAAAUACGUGCCAGCAGCCGCGGUAAUACGUAUGGUGCAAGCGUUAUCCGGAUUUACUGGGUGUAAAGGGAGCGCAGGCGGUGCGGCAAGUCUGAUGUGAAAGCCCGGGGCUCAACCCCGGGACUGCAUUGGAAACUGGGAGACUUGAGUGCAGAAAAGG